ACGAGGAGCCCAGCGCCAGGCCCUCGGCCUCCUGCUUCAGCGGCACCGUCAGCUCCAUGGGGCCUCCUGGACGGCAGCGCCUGCCCCGCGUGGCCCAGGGUGCAAAGAGGUCUCUGUGAGGGGCGGCGCUCACUCGGGCGGUGAGGAAAGGGUGUCUGUCUCGUGGGAUCCCACGGAGUCAAGUGCCGGCUCUGCCCCUCGUUGGGCCCCUUCCGCGGCUUCUGUACCUCAGUCCUGCAGCUCCUCCCGCAGCCUGUCCUACAGCACAAAGGCUCUGGAGCAAAUUCCAGCUCUGCCUCCCACCAGCUCUGUGUCCUUGGACAAGAGGGAAUGCAGUAUGGCAGCAUUUUCUUUGGAACAAAUUAAGAAGAUAGUAACAAAUAACAGAAGAAAUACUUCUACACAUAUAUUUUCCAUGGGCAAUAAACAGAUAAGUAUAUAAUUAUGAAA
Molecule: long non-coding RNA, 450 nt
Organism: Homo sapiens (human)
Lineage: Eukaryota; Metazoa; Chordata; Mammalia; Primates; Hominidae
Source: Ensembl